Molecule: long non-coding RNA, 797 nt
Organism: Oncorhynchus keta (chum salmon)
Lineage: Eukaryota; Metazoa; Chordata; Actinopteri; Salmoniformes; Salmonidae
Exons: 3
Source: RefSeq, a predicted model, not a curated record
AGGUUAGUCUGUUGUUGAAGAUGGGAGGGACAGAGAUGAUAACAGGUUAGUCUGUUGUUGAAGAUGGGAGGGACAGAGAUGAUAACAGGUUAGUCUGUUGUUGAAGAUGGGAGGGACAGAGAUGAUAACAGGUUAGUCUGUUGUUGAAGAUGGGAGGGACAGAGAUGAUAACAGGUUAGUCUGUUGUUGAAGAUGGGAGGGACAGAGAUGAUAACAGGUUAGUCUGUUGUUGAAGAUGGGAGGGACAGAGAUGAUAACAGGUUAGUCUGUUGUUGAAGAUGGGAGGGGACAGAGAUGAUAACAGGUUAGUCUGUUGUUGAAGAUGGGAGGGACAGAGAUGAUAACAGGUUAGUCUGUUGUUGAAGAUGGGAGGGACAGAGAUGAUAACAGGUUAGUCUGUUGUUGAAGAUGGGAGGGACAGAGAUGAUAACAGGUUAGUCUGUUGUUGAAGAUGGGAGGGACAGAGAUGAUAACAGGUUAGUCUGUUGUUGAAGAUGGGAGGGACAGAGAUGAUAACAGGUUAGUCUGUUGUUGAAGAUGGGAGGGACAGAGAUGAUAACAGGUUAGUCUGUUGUUGAAGAUGGGAGGGACAGAGAUGAUAACAGGUUAGUCUGUUGUUGAAGAUGGGAGGGACAGAGAUGAUAACAGGUUAGUCUGUUGUUGAAGAUGGGAGGGGACAGAGAUGAUAACAGGUUAGUCUGUUGUUGAAGAUGGGAGGGACAGAGAUGAUAACAGGUUAGUCUGUUGUUGAAGAUGGGAGGGGACAGAGAUGAUAACAGGUUAGUCUGUUGUUGAAG